GCCCACGAGGGAAGUGAGGCUCGCAGAGGUGAACUGAAUUGUCCACGGUUACACAAGCUUGGAGCAGACCUGUGAUCCUCAGGCUGCCAACGCCUCCUCCAUCACUGCCGUGGCAGGCAUCACUAAUCGAUCAUGACCCUCUUUCAGACUGACUCCAGCCCUUGUCCUGCGGUCUUUCCCAGCACGGCAUUCUGGGAGGCCAUACAACCCGUCAGAAUUCGUGGAUUAAGUGUGCCCUUCCUGCUACCGCCUAAUAGGUAUUUAAGGAAGUGGUCAGCUUGCCCUCAUCAACCUUCAUAAGCCUCUUCAUCCAGACUGUACGUGUUCACGUCCAUCACGAGUCCAUGUGGCAGGUCUGGGACCAAAUCUCUGCAUCCUCAGUGAGAGAACAUGAUCGUCACACUGUCAGGAAAGCUGACGCAUCAAGAAUAGAAGGGCGAGCUUCUGCUUCUGCGCACGAGGGGGUAAUAGCUGGCGACAGACCGUCUCUCCCACGGACAGCAGCACGGGAGCUGAGGUCACAUGCAAACCCUCUGCUUUUGAACCAAAGUACAGGAAUCUAAAUGCAUCCUUAUCCUAUUUUUAUUUAUGUAUUUGCUUUGAGAGAGACAGAGUGUGAGCGAGG
Molecule: long non-coding RNA, 625 nt
Organism: Neofelis nebulosa (Clouded leopard)
Lineage: Eukaryota; Metazoa; Chordata; Mammalia; Carnivora; Felidae
Exons: 3
Source: RefSeq, a predicted model, not a curated record